UGAGUACAUUCAAGACUAGACUAUCUGAAACCAUGAAGGGUCACAAUACAGGAGAUGCAUUUCACUGUAUUAUAACAUUAUUACUUUGAGAUGUACAGAGGUUAUAGUAACAUACCGAAGAUUUUACAAACUCUUGGAUAUGGGGUCCACAUACCUUCUGAAAUGUGUCUGAACAUUCUCCAGCCUUCAACUGCAUUUCAACCAGCAGCAUUUCAGUAGACAGAAGAGAAAGGUGGAUCUGCACUUGAUGCACAGCAAUAAUACAGAUGUGGUGGUAACCGAGCAGUUCCCUGAGUGCCAGACGAUCAGUCAACAGAGGAGGCUGCUACAGCUUUGAAGAUAAUGGAAGCGGCCACAAGCCAAGGAAAGCCGGUGGCCUCUGCAAGCUAGAAAAAGCAAGGAAAUUGAUCCUUCCCUGAGCCUACAGAAAGGAAUGCAGUCCUGCUGACACCUUGAUGCUAGCCUCACGAGAUCCAUGUUAGACUUCUGACCUACAGAACUCCAGAAACGCAUGCUGAAAUAUUCAUCUUUUUAAGGACAUCAUUUAAAUAGCAAAAAAGUCACCAAAUAAUCUCUAUGCAUGUGAAAAUAAGUUGUAAAAACUGCAUGUGGAAGAAAUUCAUCUUCUAGACAAAAAGCCUACCAUCACCACUGAAAUAACAUGACAAAUAUGUGUCAAAUAGCAAUGACAGAUGCAGGCACUUUCUAAAAUAACACAAAAUGAGGGUUCUAGGGACGAAUAAUUUAAUUUGCAUCCCGGGGGGAUGUUUUCAUCUUCUUGUCAAAGAAUUUACAUUCACAACCUGCCACGCACAAUUACAAUAAAGAGAGGUCUGGGAUGUUGUUGUUUGUGUUUCUGUUCUUUUUCACCGGGAAGCAGAGAACAAUAACUUUGGAGUGCUGACCAUAGGAAGCAAAUCAUUCGGAAUGUUUCCCCUUUCACCUUAGCAAAGUAAAUGGUCCAAUUUGCAAAUUCCAGAGGUUUGGGGGAUUACAGUGGCACUAAUGUUCUGGACCAGGGGUCUCUGUUGGCUCAGACCUUUUCAAAUCAGUGUUUGUGUAGUCACUACCCUAUUUCUCCCUUCCCACAGAAACACUUGCACAUGUU
This 1108-nucleotide long non-coding RNA is filed under the name Equus caballus (horse). RNAcentral's name for it is "lncRNA (ENSECAG00000041961.2)". Lineage: Eukaryota; Metazoa; Chordata; Mammalia; Perissodactyla; Equidae. The record is from RNAcentral.